CCCUUAGAUGUUCUGGGCCGCACGCGUGCUACACUGAGUGGAUCAGCGGGUCAGGUUGCGCGAAAGCGUUUCCUAAUCUUUAAAUCCGCUCGUGAUGGGGAUUGACGGUUGCAAUUUUCUGUCAUGAACGGGGAAUACCUUGUAAGCGCGGGUCAUCAUCCUGCGCUGAAUACGUCCCUGCCCUUUGUACACACCGCCCGUCGCUCCUACCGAUUGAGUGGUCCGGUGAGGCUUUGGGAUCUGAGCGGAAAGAGCGUUUCGCUGUUUCUGCUCGGAAAACUCAGUCGAACCUUAUCAUUUAGAGGAAGGAGAAGUCGUAACA
RNAcentral lists this ribosomal RNA (322 nucleotides) under uncultured eukaryote. RNAcentral describes it as "partial 18S ribosomal RNA". It matches the Rfam family "Eukaryotic small subunit ribosomal RNA", at positions 1470 to 1796 of the family's 1831-position model. The record is from RNAcentral.